Molecule: ribosomal RNA, 253 nt
Filed under: uncultured bacterium
Lineage: Bacteria
Description: partial 16S ribosomal RNA
Rfam family: Bacterial small subunit ribosomal RNA
Source: RNAcentral
UACAGAGGUCCCAAGCGUUGUUCGGAUUCACUGGGCGUAAAGGGUGCGUAGGCGGUGAGGUAAGUCGGAUGUGAAAUCUCCGAGCUCAACUCGGAAAUGGCAUUGGAAACUACCUCGCUAGAGAGUUGGAGGGGGGACUGGAAUACUUGGUGUAGCAGUGAAAUGCGUAGAUAUCAAGUGGAACACCAGUGGCGAAGGCGAGUCUCUGGACAUUUCCUGACGCUGAGGCACGAAAGCCAGGGGAGCAAACGGG